RNAcentral lists this ribosomal RNA (450 nucleotides) under uncultured bacterium. Its description in RNAcentral is "partial 16S ribosomal RNA". It matches the Rfam family "Bacterial small subunit ribosomal RNA", at positions 329 to 793 of the family's 1533-position model. The record is from RNAcentral.
GCCCAGACUCCUACGGGAGGCAGCAGUGGGGAAUAUUGCACAAUGGGGGAAACCCUGAUGCAGCGACGCCGCGUGAGCGAAGAAGUAUUUCGGUAUGUAAAGCUCUAUCAGCAGGGAAGAAAAAAAUGACGGUACCUGAGUAAGAAGCACCGGCUAAAUACGUGCCAGCAGCCGCGGUAAUACGUAUGGUGCAAGCGUUAUCCGGAUUUACUGGGUGUAAAGGGGGCGCAGACGGCGAUGCAAGCCAGGAGUGAAAGCCCGGGGCCCAACCCCGGGACUGCUCUUGGAACUGCGUGGCUGGAGUGCAGGAGGGGCAGGCGGAAUUCCUGGUGUAGCGGUGAAAUGCGUAGAUAUCAGGAGGAACACCGGUGGCGAAGGCGGCUUUCUGGCUCAUAACUGACGCUGAGGCGCGAAAGCGUGGGGAGCAAACAGGAUUAGAUACCCUAGUAU